Molecule: long non-coding RNA, 1860 nt
Organism: Chrysemys picta bellii (western painted turtle)
Lineage: Eukaryota; Metazoa; Chordata; Testudines; Emydidae
Source: RefSeq, a predicted model, not a curated record
GGCCAAAUUAGCACCCUUAAAGGUGUUGAUCGUGUGGAAAAUAACCUGAGCAACGGUGCCUGCAGGCGUUCCCACAUCUGCACCAGCCAGCAGCAGGAACAGAAAUUUGGUUAUUAGCUGCCUGUGAUGGGACUGCUGGAGUAAAACUUGGAAUUGUGGGACUGCUGUCUUUGAAAUAAGUUUAUUAACUACACACAACAAAGCCAAUACAGCUAUGGGAGUGCAACUGGAGUUUUUUAUGCAUCAUCAAAACCUUCAGCUAAAUUCUACACUAGAAUUUUAAUUACCGUGGAUAGAGGAGGAAGAAUGAAGAUAGCUUGGUUUUCAGAUCCCAGGUUUCCUGUCCUGGUCAUCAGAAAAAUCCUCUCCCACCUUGUAAACUGAGCAAAUCUGCUCUGGAAACCAAUGAAAAAUGAGCAUCACCAUGUCCAUGUCAUUUUUACAGUGCCUUUUCUGACUAUUGCGCAGUUUAUUGCUGCUUUGAAAAGGGACUGUAAAAAUGCCACCUUCUGAUUUAGCAGAGAUCUGCUCUCUGUGUGUAAUCAGAAUCAUAUUUGCUGUCUUAAUUGACGAGAGUAAUUAGACAAGAUUAAUUGACAAGAGUAAUUAUAGAAUAAUUUUAAGGUCUUUUACUCUUGUUAGCGCUCCAGGCCAACAUAGCUAAGAGAGUGAGCUGGAUUCUGUUCCAGCUUGCGCUCCAUCCAUCAACAGAAUUGUUAACUACAUUCAAUUUACAGAGCCAACCAAUUACGCCUCGUGAGACAAUGGGGCUGCACAGGAGGACAGGAGGAUAGACUCUGGUGCUUACUUCUGAUUUCACACCAGUUUUACACUGGUGUAACUGUUGACUCUGUGGAAUUACUUCUGAUAUACGCAAGUGUGAAUAAGAUCAGAAUCAGACCCUAAAUUUACAAAAACUGUAUUUAGUUCUGAUAAUGGUGCAUGAGAAAGAACCUAGCUUGACUCUCAGGGCCAGCUCCCCAUCUGUACUCAGCACACCAGGGAAAAGGGGUGAAGAUGAGGGGGUUAGGUGGUGUGUCAUCUGUCCACCCCUGAUCCUGGGGGUUGCCAGUGGCCAAAUCAGCCCCCAGAGCAAGUUAGAGCAACCUUAGGGCUUUGAUCUAGAAUUGACGAGUCAAUAACGGUGGAACCCUCGUAGCCUGACUUUUACAGUCAUUUUUCAGAGUCGAUUCACACAUGGAGCAGAUUGUACAACAAACAGCCGCUGUCCCCACAGCACACGUCUCAGUUACUGUCAUCUUUUCAGUGCCUUGUCUUUUCAUCCUUUCCUCUUUUUGUUUUCAGCCAUAACAUUUGCAUUUGGAGACACCCUUAGCGAAGCAGGGCCAACCAUUGGCAAGGUUGUGGGGUGGUUGUUGUUGUUUUUAAGUAAGACAAAAAUCUACAUUCAGAUUUAAGAAAGGGCAUUAUUUUAUCGCUCUGUUUAAGCACUGCCAGGAGUUAUUCUAUUAUAUCCAAACAUGUCUAUUUACUCUUUAAAGCAUGUUCCUUUUAUUUACUCCUCCAGAGCUGCUUGUUUAAUCCAGUCUCUUUUCCACUGAAUUACACUUGCACAAUAACGCAAUUGCAAGGCCAAACAGGUUCAGCUUGGGUAGGGGUGGCGGUGGAGGGAGCAUGUAUUCAUGUUAAAUAAUAUCUCUGCCAUUUAAAAAUAAAGAAAUCAGUCUAAAGAUCCAUUCUGACCAGCAAUUUUUGUAUCUAAAUAUAAAAAAGGAGUCCUGAAUGGGAGUUACUGCUCAUGAUCUUGAUCAGCAAAGUUCUUUUAGAAACAAUACAUAAAAUCAAGGAAAACCAGCUGAAAAAUGAAGCCCAUUUUUAAGUCUUUUAUCCACGUAGUUU